GUAGGUGAACCUGCGGAGGGAUCAUUACCGAGCGAGGGCGCCCCGCGCCCGACCUCCCAACCCUCUGUUAACCGUACCGCGUUGCCUCGGGGUGGCCCUCACCGGCGCCCCAGAGGACGUCCAUCAAAACCCUGCGUCUUUGCGUCGGAGUAUUAGUUUGAAUCAAUCAAAACUUUCAACAACGGAUCUCUUGGUUCUG
This 199-nucleotide unclassified non-coding RNA is filed under the name rhizosphere metagenome. RNAcentral's name for it is "partial ribosomal RNA internal transcribed spacer region". The record is from RNAcentral.